UAUCUUCUAGUGGGUGCCUUCUCUUCUUGU
This 30-nucleotide non-coding RNA is filed under the name Mus musculus (house mouse). Lineage: Eukaryota; Metazoa; Chordata; Mammalia; Rodentia; Muridae. The record is from RNAcentral.